AUUGAACGCUGGCGGCAGGCCUAACACAUGCAAGUCGAGCGAGCGGCGCGCGGGUGAGUAAUGUCUGGGAAACUGCCCGAGGGAGGGGGGUAACACCUGGGAACGGUAGCUAAUACCGCAUAUCCUCAGAUGUGCCCCGAUGGGAUUAGCUGGUAGGUGGGGUAACGGCGCACCUAGGCGACGAUCCCUCGCUGGUCUGAGAGGAUGACCAGCCACACUGGAACUGAGACACGGUCCAGACUCCUACGGGAGGCAGCAGUGGGAAAUAUUGCACAAUGGGCGCAAGCCUGAUGCAGCCAUGCCGCGUGUGUGAAGAAGGCCUUCGGGUUGUAAAGCACUUUCAGCGGGGAGGCGUUACCCGCAGAAGAAGCACCGGCUAACUCCGUGCCAGCAGCCGCGGUAAUAC
RNAcentral lists this ribosomal RNA (406 nucleotides) under uncultured bacterium. Its description in RNAcentral is "partial 16S ribosomal RNA". It matches the Rfam family "Bacterial small subunit ribosomal RNA", at positions 29 to 526 of the family's 1533-position model. The record is from RNAcentral.